RNAcentral lists this ribosomal RNA (481 nucleotides) under uncultured bacterium. Its description in RNAcentral is "partial 16S ribosomal RNA". It matches the Rfam family "Bacterial small subunit ribosomal RNA", at positions 28 to 507 of the family's 1533-position model. The record is from RNAcentral.
GACGAACGCUGGCGGCGUGCUUAACACAUGCAAGUCGAACGGGAUCCGGGCUUUCGGGUUUGGUGAGAGUGGCGAACGGGUGAGUAACACGUGAGUAACCUGCCCCCUUCUUUGGGAUAACGUCGGGAAAUCGGCGCUAAUACUGGAUAUUCUUGCUGCAUCGCAUGGUGUGGUUUGGAAAGGGUUUCUGGUGGGGGAUGGGCUCGCGGCCUAUCAGCUUGUUGGUGGGGUGAUGGCCUACCAAGGCUUUGACGGGUAGCCGGCCUGAGAGGGUGUCCGGCCACACUGGGACUGAGACACGGCCCAGACUCCUACGGGAGGCAUCAGUGGGGAAUAUUGCACAAUGGGCGCAAGCCUGAUGCAGCGACGCCGCGUGAGGGAUGACGGCCUUCGGGUUGUAAACCUCUUUCAGUAUGGAACAAGGAUCCUUCUUUUGGGGGGUUUGAGGGUACGUGCAGAAGAAGCGCCGGCUAACUACGUG